UACGUAGGUGACAAGCGUUGUCCGGAUUUACUGGGCGUAAAGAGCGCGCAGGCGGUCGAUCAAGUCGAGUGUGAAAGCCCCCGGCUCAACUGGGGAGGGUCAUUCGAUACUGAUCGACUCGAAGGCAGGAGAGGGAAGCGGAAUUCCCGGUGUAGUGGUGAAAUGCGUAGAUAUCGGGAGGAACACCAGUGGCGAAGGCGGCUUCCUGGCCUGUUCUUGACGCUGAGGCGCGAAAGCUAGGGGAGCAAACGGG
Molecule: ribosomal RNA, 253 nt
Filed under: uncultured bacterium
Lineage: Bacteria
Description: partial 16S ribosomal RNA
Rfam family: Bacterial small subunit ribosomal RNA
Source: RNAcentral